AAGACUAUAGACCUGCGGAGUACCUGCGGAAGGAUCAUUAACGUAUCUAUGAUGGGGAGCGGAGCGCCCUGCUCCGGUCGAACGGCCGUGCAGCGGGUGCGCCGCCCCCGUCCCACCUCACAAACCCACUGUGAACAUUCACCGGUGGAGGGGGCUCGGUCUGCGCCGUGUCCCCGAUGCCGAAUACCCAAACUCCAGUUGCAAAGAACGUCGUGCGGACUCGGUGCCGCCUAAAACAUG
This 240-nucleotide unclassified non-coding RNA is filed under the name soil metagenome. Its description in RNAcentral is "partial contains 5.8S ribosomal RNA, internal transcribed spacer 2, and large subunit ribosomal RNA". The record is from RNAcentral.